GUCUACAGCAAUGCUACCUGUAGAUCAGAUCCCCUCUGAUCUUGGAAGCUAAGCAGGGUGGGGCCUGGUUAGUACUUGGAUGGGAGACCACCUAGGAAGACCAGGUGCUGUAGGUG
RNAcentral lists this ribosomal RNA (116 nucleotides) under Pteropus alecto (black flying fox). The record is from RNAcentral. Lineage: Eukaryota; Metazoa; Chordata; Mammalia; Chiroptera; Pteropodidae.